Molecule: long non-coding RNA, 282 nt
Filed under: Mytilus galloprovincialis (Mediterranean mussel)
Lineage: Eukaryota; Metazoa; Mollusca; Bivalvia; Mytilida; Mytilidae
Source: RNAcentral
UGUUGCUGUAUAUCAUAUUAUUUUCCAGUUUACUGUUAUGUCAAUAUAUCAGGCCGUUACUUUUCUCGUUUGAAUUGUUAAACCUUUUUAUUUUAUUUCGGGUCUUUUAACGAUUACCGUGAGAUAUCGAUUGUGCUCAUUAUUGAGGGCAGUACGGUGAUCUAUAAUAGUUGUUAAAUUCUCUGGUAGAGAAGUAUCUCAUCGACAAGUAAGUGCUUACUGUAGAAAUACUUUUUUAAUUUUUAGUUUCUUGUGUACAAUUUGGAGUUAAGUAUGGCGUUC